Long non-coding RNA from Peromyscus leucopus (white-footed mouse), 2675 nucleotides. RefSeq lists it as uncharacterized. The transcript is spliced from 3 exons. Lineage: Eukaryota; Metazoa; Chordata; Mammalia; Rodentia; Cricetidae. The record is from RefSeq and is a predicted model, not a curated record.
CUUAUCUUUAAAGUUAACACAACAUAAAGAACAAUGCUUGUUUCAUGAGGAGAUUAAAGUUAUCAAGAAGACAGCUGAGGAAAGUACAAUUAAAACACAAACAUGGAAGCAUUCAGGAAGCAUUCAGACAGAAGCCAUGCAACAUGUUUAUACUAAAGGAAAGCUCAAACCAACACCCUCCUCCAGCUAUUAGGAACACUUUAGGAUGGCCAGCAAUGGCUCAACUACCACUGUGGCCAAAAGGGCCCCGACGAGAAAAGCCAGAGGAAGAGAGGAGAGGGACAAAGUCCACGUGUCCAGAACCACACAUCCUGCACGACUGUGAUGGGAAGGCUGACCACCAGGAGAGCCAGCCGGAGCUCUGAGAGUCUCCAAGUCUGGGGGUGUCCUGGCACUUCGCUGUUUAAUAAUCCCCCAAGGAAGCAACUUGCAGAAAGGUCAGAAGUUGCGGCAAGGACAGCGUCAAGGGUUCCCGCAACCAACGUGGAGACUUCUGCCAGCACGCAGGAAUGUCUGAAGGAAGCAGGGACCCCGGUCAGGAAUCAGUUCUCUGCGGACACAGAGGUCAGAGGACUCUGUCCUUGGCGGAAGAGCUGUGAACGCCCUGAAAUCCACAGGCGCCCGGCCAGCUGGUCCUGGACUGGGAGGAUGGGGAUCAGGUUGAGAAAGGGAUGCUGUGGUUAACAAGAGAGUACCUCUAAUUUGGGGACAGGGACCAGGGAGCAUGAGUUAAACAAGUGAACGUGACAGCUAGUGCCACUGUGGGAGACCAGUGGUGGGGGGCUUUGGGGCUCUUUGCGGGAUUGCUAGAAAGGAGAAAUCAAGUAACAUCUCAGAUGGCAACAUAAAACCUUAUGAAGAGCUGAGAGAUCACAGAAUUCUUCCUUCUAGUAUAGAGACCCCAAACUGCGAGACCAGCUGCUGGGGCCAGUGGAGCAGACUCACCCCUGAAGGGUGCUGACCUUUCUGCAGGGCCCACCCUUGAAGUGCAUGAGUCAAAUUGUCAUGUGACUUGCCCUGUUAACCCUAAUAUCCUAGGCGUGGCCACCAGUUCUCAGUGGGCCAUUUUAAAUUAAAUGAAGUUGUAAAAAGUAAUAAUGAAAAGAAGAAAAGGGAGAUUUAGUCAAUGUGGCCAUAUCUGGCAGAGGUACAAAGAGCUCCCCUGGAUCCCCAAGUCUGUCUUUCAGGUCUUGACUUGAGAUUUUGGUUUAAACAGAAGGCAGGAGACAUGCAUAACCAACCAGUCCUGGCCGAGGUGUGGUAGGUCCCUCCGUCAUUCUCUGCCUCUAGUCUCUCUGUCCUGUUCUGAUGGGUUGCCAGAACUGUGUAAAAUCAACCAGAAAGAAAGUUCUGGUUGAUACCAUGAGAUUCAUGGGAAAUUCUGACUUGUGGAGAAUCAUUUUUUCAUAGUCUGGUAGGCAAUGGAAGGGCACAAGUGUCCCUUCGGAAUGUCUUCAUGCCUGCCAGGGCUAUUACGAAGUUGGUCUAGCUCCGUGUAGGUCCCACACAGUACUCAAAGAACCCCAUCUAACCACAGAUCGGCUUCACUUAUUCCAAGGCCUGUGAAACACACACACCAGCCAAGGCAUCUUCUGUCACUACGGAGCCUGUUUGUGCUUAGCCUUGGCUCCUGUUCCUGAGGCCACUAAAUUCCUUCAGCUUCUCCAUCUGUCCCCUCUGCCCCCCAUUCCAUGGAUGCUUCUUGUUUUACUUCACUAUAACUUGUGUGAAACUUGCCUUCCCCCCUCAUUUUCCACGAAGAAGCUGCUCCAACUCCUCUCCCUGCUUUUUGAAAGUCUAUGAAAUAGUCAGAGCUGAGAAACCCUGGGAGGUGUCUGUCAGGACAAAUGUCUUCACACUCUGAAUCGCUUCCGUGUUCUGAGCUGACGGCCACUCAGCCAUGAGGCUUGGCCACCCUUCUUCCCUCCACCCCACCUACUCUCCUCCACCCCAAGUUCCACUGAAUUCCAGUUCAGAGUAGUUUAGUUUGUCGCUUUCGUUUAAGGAUGCUUAAUUGCCUUUUAAAGACACUGUCUUCAGCCCAAGGUUAGGGUUUUAUCUUCUAACCCUAGAUGUUUAUCAAGGUCUCUUCUUCCACAGGUAGUCCCUGGUGAGAGAAAGUUGACAUUGUUUUCCUCACUCUCCAGCUUGCCUGGAGCUAGGCUGUGAGAGAGGAAAGGUAGUGCUUGUCUUUGGGAACCAGUGAGGAUGGUUCUAAAAGCAGAGGAGGAAGGAGGAUCUCCAACAACAAAGGAAUAAAGAAAAUCUAUAUAUACAUUUCAGCCACAAAGACCGAAGUUAUGUCACUUGCAGGAAAAUGAAUGUGACUGGAAUUAAUCAUGUUAAGCAAAUCAAGUCAUUCUCAGAAGACAAACACCACAUUUUCUUUCAUUGGUGGUUCCUGGAUUUUAUAUGGUCACAUAAAAUCAUGAAUGUACAUAUUAAAUGAAAGCAGUAGUAAAAUUGUUUAAGAGAACAAGUAAUAAAUGGUGGGGGGGGUGAGGAUUGGAAGGGUGGAGGGACUUGGCGAACAAGGAGAGAUACGCUCAACAUAUAGAUCUGUAUGAAAAUUUAAAAUUAAUUUCUAGAAAGACAAUGAUAUCAAAGGCACAUUAGAAGAAUUUGACUGGAAAUGCUGUGUUGUUAAUAAAACUACCAUUUCUGCUUUGUAAAAA